RNAcentral lists this long non-coding RNA (2842 nucleotides) under Salmo salar (Atlantic salmon). Its description in RNAcentral is "lncRNA (ENSSSAG00000110682.1)". Lineage: Eukaryota; Metazoa; Chordata; Actinopteri; Salmoniformes; Salmonidae. The record is from RNAcentral.
CAUGUGGCCGUGCAUGAAUGAGUGUGUGUUUGUGUGCGUGCGUGCGUACGUGCAUGUGAGCAAAAGAGAAAGAGAGAGAGAGAAAAAGAGAGGCUGAUUUAGUAUGGGACGGGUGUUGUCUUCAUCUUACAACAGUCAAGAACUAAACAGCACAUUGCAGAAAGAGGCAGUUUCAGCCCAUUUAUGAAUCUUUUCAGGCAAUGUUCCCUGUUCAGAAAUGCAAAUUGAAUCAAUGUGAGUCUGACUUUUAGGACUUUCAAGUGGGCUUUAAUUAGCAGCUGAGGCACAGCAUUUUAAUGAGAGAGGGGGUGGAGGGAGAGAGAGAGAGAGAAAGAGAGGGGAGGAGAGAUGUUGUUCUGAUCAUAGUCCUGUAGGAGAGGGGUGAAGGACACACAUCCAGAGCUGUGGGUUUCUUAAAGAAGGAAAAAAACUCUGUCCUUCUUUAUUUCCCUCCAUCCGUCUGGCCAUCUGUCUGUCUGUCCGUUAGUCCUUCACCUCUGAGUCCCACUGCUAAGAGCCAGACGUGGAGUUUUCCUCCAACUCUGGUUCAGUGUUUCUACAUCAUAAAUUGUUUUGUCUCUGCCUCUCUUUCACUCUCUCUCUCUCUAUCUCCCUCUUUGUCUCUCUCUCCAUGUCUCUCCCUUUCUUCACGUCUCCUUGUCUUCCCCCUCUCCUCUCUCCCCCUCUCUCCAUGUCUCCAUCCCCCUCUUUCUCUCUGUCCAAAACAUGCCUCGAUUAAGAUCUUUCUGUCUCCCUUUCUCUCUUCCUGUCUCUCUCGUUCUCUCUCUCCUCUCUGUCUCUCGCUCUCUCACUCUUUCCGUCUCUCUCAGCUGUUCUAUCCCGCCAUAUCAUCCUCCUGUAAUUUUGUCGGCUAGAAGCUGACUAAGCCUCCCCAACCCAUCAGGUUGUUAUUUUGUGUUCGUGAGCGUCGAGUCUACAGGCUAGGAUGAUAAACGAUCAUUCUUCUCUACCUUUCUUUCAUUCUCUUUUCAUUUUCUCCUUCAUUCAUCUCUCUCUACACCCCUCUCCCUCUUUUCCCCUCCACAGCCUCUCUCCCUCUCUCCAUUACUCUCUCCCCCUCUCUAACUCCUAUUUCACUCCUCUCUCCUUCACUGCUCUACAACUUCUCUCCCCCAUCCCUCCCUCCUCCACCCCCCUACCUCCAUACCUCUCUCCAAUCCUAGGGUGGUGAUAAAAGGGUGCAGGUGUCAGGGCAGUGGUGUGUAAAUCCUAGGGUGAGGGUAAAAGGGUGCAGGUGUCAGGGCAGUGGUGUGUAAAUCCUAGGGUGAUGGUAAAGGGGUGCAGGUGUCAGGGCAGUGGUGUGUAAAUCCUAGGGUGGUGAUAAAAGGGUGCAGGUGUCAGGGCAGUGGUGUGUAAAUCCUAGGGUGAUGGUAAAAGGGUGCAGGUGUCAGGGCAGUGGUGUGUAAAUCCUAGGGUGAUGGAGUGUGUAUGUGUUUCAAGUUUCAAGUUUUAAUGUCGCAUUCACAAGUACAGUGAAAUGCCUUUCUUGCAAACUCAAAACCCGACAAUGCCAACCAUCAAUGUAAUACUAGAAACAAACACACGAGGACUAAGAAGAACACAACAAGUAGGAAAGUAAGAAUACCAUAUACAGGGUCAGUUCCAAUACAACAUUUACAAUGUGCAGGGACACUGGAGUGAUAAAGGUCGAUAUGUAUAGGGGGAAGGUGACUAGACAACAGGAUAAAAGAUAAACAGUGUAGUAACAGCUUGUAUGUGAGUGGGUGUGUGUGUGUGGAGUCCGUAUAAAUGUGCAGUACCAGUCAAAAGUUUGGACACACCUACUCAUUCAAGGGUUUUUAUUUAUUUUUACUAUUUUCUACAUUGUAGAAUAAUAGUGAAGGCAUCAAAACUAUGAAAUAACACAUAUGGAAUCAUGUAGUAACCAAAAACAUGUUAAACAAAUCCAAAUAUAUUUUAUAUUUGAGAUUAUUCGAAGUAGCCACCCUUUGCCUUGAUGACAGCUUUGCACACUCUUGGCAUUCUUUCAACCAGCUUCACCUUUAAUGCUUUUCCGACAGUUUUGAAGGAGUUACCACAUAUGCUGAGCACUUGUUGGCUGCUUUUCCUUCACUCCGCGGUCCAACUCAUCCCAAACCAUCUCAAUUGGGUUGAGUUUGGGUGAUUGUGGAGGCCAGGUUAUCUGAUUCAGCACUCCAUCACUCUCCUUUUUGGUCAAAUAGCCCUAACACAGCCUGGAGGUGUUUUGGGUCAUUGUCCUGUUGAAUAACAACGAUAAGCGCAAAUCAGAUGGGAUGGCAUAUUGCUGCAGGAUGCUGUGGUAGCCAUGCUGGUUAAGUGUGCCUUGAAUUCUAAAUGAAUCACAGACAGUGUCACCAGCAAAGCACCCCCACACCAUCACACCUCCACCUCCUCCUCCAUGCUUCAGGCCUGAUUCACACAGUCUCCUCUGAACAGUUGAUGUUGAGAUGUGUCUGUUACAUGAACUCUGUGAAGCAUUUACUUGGGCUGCAAUCUGAGAUGCAGUUAACUCUAAUAAACUUAUCCUCUGCAGCAGACGUAACUAUGGGUCUUCCUUUCCUGUGGCGGUCCUCAUGAGAGCCAGUUUCAUCAUCCAGUUUCAUCAUAGCGCUUUAUGGUUUUUGCGAUUGCACUUGAAGAAACGUUUCAAAGUUUUUGAAAUGUUCCAGAUUUACUGACCUUCAUGUCUUAAAGUAAUGAUGGAAUGUUGUUUCUCUUUGAUUACUUGAGCUGUUUUUGCCAUGAUAUGGACUUGGUCAUUUACCAAAUAGGGCUAUCUUCUGUACACCACCCCUACCUUGUCACAACACAACUGAUUGACUCAAUCACAUUAAUUAAU